ACCUAAUAGAUACCCGGGUAGUCCACGCCCUAAACGAUGCGAACUGGAUGUUGGGUACAUUACGGUACUCAGUGUCGAAAGCUAAACGCGUUAAGUUCGCCGCCUGGGGAGUACGGUCGCAAGACUGAAACUCAAAGGAAUUGACGGGGGUCCCGCACAAGCGGUGGAGUAUGUGGUUUAAUUCGAUGCAACGCGAAGAACCUUACCUGGCCUUGACAUCUGUCGAAUCCUGCAGAGAUGCGGGAGUGCCGCAAGGAACGACAAGACAGGUGCUGCAUGGCUGUCGUCAGCUCGUGUCGUGAGAUGUU
Molecule: ribosomal RNA, 308 nt
Filed under: uncultured bacterium
Lineage: Bacteria
Description: bacterial SSU rRNA
Rfam family: Bacterial small subunit ribosomal RNA
Source: RNAcentral